GAUGAACGCUGACAGAAUGCUUAACACAUCAGCAAUUGUUUGGAGGCGGACGGGUGAGUAACGCGUAAAGAACUUGCCUCACAGUUCGGGCCAACAUGUGGAAACGAAUGCUAAUACAUAAUUCUGUGAGAGUGCUUUUCGUCCCAUUAGCUAGUUGGAGAGGUAACGGCGCACAAAGGCGAGGAUGGGUAGCCGGACUGGGAGGGUGAUCGGCCACAAGGGGACAGAGACACGUGCCGUACUCCUACGGGGGGCAGCAGUGGGGAAUAGUCGGCAAUGGACCAAAGUCUGAUGCAGGAAUUCUGUGUGUACGACGAAGUUUUCGAGAUGUACAGUGCUUUCAGUUGGUAAGCGGUACCAACAGAAGAAGUGACGGCUAAAUACGUGCCAGCAGCCGCGGUAAUUC
Molecule: ribosomal RNA, 406 nt
Filed under: uncultured bacterium
Lineage: Bacteria
Description: partial 16S ribosomal RNA
Rfam family: Bacterial small subunit ribosomal RNA
Source: RNAcentral